CAUACGGGAAUCAUGCACCGUCGAUGGACCAUAGAAUACAACUACGGGUCCGUAUAAUUUGUGUAUUUUUUUAAGUAAUUCUAUGGUAAACAUAUAAUUAAUUUUAUGUAGGUGCAACCCAAACAAAUGAGGGAUAUGUCCAAGAAGGUACAUGUGUUCGCGUAAACCUGAAGACUAUUGAGAAAUUCUACUAUUAUUAAAUCAACAAUAGUGGUUUACUUGAAUUCGAAUUCCAAUGAGGCAUAGAAAAUGAAGGUGUUCGCAUAAAGAUGGAUGGAUAUAGUGUAAGAUGACAACCAGUCAAUAUGGCUAGAACUAAUGUUUCUUGUGCCAUGAUCGCAGAUAUAGAAUAACGGCAAGAGGAUGAUAAUAUCAAAUAACAAGCUAUGUGAUGUUUUAAUAUCUAGUCAUUUCAAUUCUGGUUAUAAUCUGGUCAUUCAUGGAACUUGAGAAUAUCAUAAAUACUAAGCCAUAUGUUUAAUUGUUGUUUACAUAAAACUAACUAAUGCAUUAUGUAUAAAUAAUAAUUGUAUUAUAAAUGGCAUGAGGCUGUUGUUGUA
This is a long non-coding RNA of Helicoverpa zea (corn earworm), 560 nucleotides long. RefSeq lists it as uncharacterized. The record is from RefSeq and is a predicted model, not a curated record. NCBI's taxonomy places the organism in Eukaryota, Metazoa, Arthropoda, Insecta, Lepidoptera, Noctuidae. The transcript has 3 exons.